Molecule: ribosomal RNA, 369 nt
Filed under: uncultured organism
Description: partial 16S ribosomal RNA
Rfam family: Bacterial small subunit ribosomal RNA
Source: RNAcentral
GUAGGUGGCAAGCGUUGUCCGGAAUUAUUGGGCGUAAAGCGCGCGCAGGCGGUUCUUUAAGUCUGAUGUGAAAGCCCACGGCUCAACCGUGGAGGGUCAUUGGAAACUGGAGAACUUGAGUACAGAAGAGGAAAGCGGAAUUCCACGUGUAGCGGUGAAAUGCGUAGAGAUGUGGAGGAACACCAGUGGCGAAGGCGGCUUUCUGGUCUGUAACUGACGCUGAGGCGCGAAAGCGUGGGGAGCAAACAGGAUUAGAUACCCUGGUAGUCCACGCCGUAAACGAUGAGUGCUAAGUGUUAGGGGGUUUCCGCCCCCUUAGUGCUGCAGCUAACGCAUUAAGCACUCCGCCUGGGAUACGGCCGCAGGCUG